ACAGAGUGAAGCUGAAAGGUCAGACAGGAGAUCUCAUCAUCACACACAUCACAUCUCAACACUCUGGACUUUAUACACUGAAGAUCAGCAGAGACAUGAAAGUCUCAUACAAGAACUUCAAUCUCACUGUCUACAAAAAUGACGUCAACAAUUCAUUCAGCAAACAGACUGAACAUCUAACCACUGAUGCCUCUCCAAAGUCUUCAGAUUCUCAUCGCAUGCGGGUCAUUAUAAUUUCAGUUGUCGUUCCUCUUGUGAUCGGUGUGAUCUUCAUCUUCAUCAUCACUGUCUACAAACACAGAAGAAUGUCUCAUAAAG
Molecule: long non-coding RNA, 318 nt
Organism: Triplophysa dalaica
Lineage: Eukaryota; Metazoa; Chordata; Actinopteri; Cypriniformes; Nemacheilidae
Exons: 3
Source: RefSeq, a predicted model, not a curated record